Molecule: ribosomal RNA, 189 nt
Filed under: uncultured bacterium
Lineage: Bacteria
Description: partial 16S ribosomal RNA
Rfam family: Bacterial small subunit ribosomal RNA
Source: RNAcentral
CCUACGGGAGGCAGCAGUGAGGAAUAUUGGUCAAUGGGCGGAAGCCUGAACCAGCCAAGUCGCGUGAAGGAUGAAGGCCUUAUGGGUUGUAAACUUCUUUAGCUGGGGAGAAAUAAGGUGCUCGAGACCACCGAUGCUAGUACCCAGAGAAAUAGGAUUGGCUAACUCCGUGCCAGCCGCCCGGGUAAU